GAUUACUUUCCGUUAGCAAUUUUUUUUUUUACUGUAGACUUAGCACUUUCUCAUCGGAUUGUGUGAUUUGCUCAAUAUGAGUAAAAAGAACCCAAUUGCUACUACUUUUAGUUAUUUGCAGUAGCAUGGACUCAAACUUUUAGGUACAUUUAGUCAGAGCUCGAACCGCGGUCGUUUUUUUGUUUUGUUUUCGUUUCAGGCCCUCCAGUUUAUUUUUUCGGUCGGGAUUUCGGAGCUGAAAAGUAGUUUGGUUUUGUGAUUCCGGAACGAAAUUCGUGGUAUUACGGUUACAGUUCAAAUUGUGUCCGGUUUGAUGAUUUGUAAUUCUCAACGGUUGAGGAAAGGGACCGGAAAAAAUCGAUGGAUGUAGCCAUCAACAACCGCAAGUGGUUCCACUUCCUGGUCAACCAGCAGUGCCAGAUGUACUGUUCCGCCAGAUUUGGAAGUUCAAUGCCCUAGCAGGACUCGGCACGGCAUUUUCCACAUCCCCGGUUUAAACGAGCUGAUUUACGAAGGCGUCUAUUGAAUAUCAUGCCGCUUGGGAGAACGGAACACCGCAAAAUGGGAAAAAAAAUGAGAAAAGAACGAGUUUGCAUGUAAGUUUUGAAUGCGUUGUUAUUGAUGAUAAUUUUUCCAUCAACUGUUUUUUAGAAAUUAUUAGCAAAAAAAUGGCAUCAAAUGGAAGACGUCUCAUUAUUCCUGCUGCCCAAGGGUUGGCAUCGAACCUCAUUCAGGCGUAAAAAUACUGAAAACUACCAGUUAUUUUGAGCAUGUUUUUAAACGCGUAUCAAAACGGAGUGGAAAAGUUAAAAAAUUGUGUGUUUUCAUAAGCAUUUUUCUCGGUAAGUGUAUUUUAUUCUAAAAUAGUUUCCCUUGAUUCAAAAUCGGAAACCAGAUCAGAUACCUUCUGGCAAUUGAAAUUUUCUGCAGCUGUUUGGCAGCCACAUCUAAUAUUUUCGAACAAUUAAAUAGUGGGGAUAGUAGUUAGAUUGAAUUUGAAAGAAUCUACUUAAACGUUUGUUUACAUCUCUUUAAUUGAUUGCUGUUGCCUAAAUUUCGGAAUUAAAGUUUAAUAUUGUGUGCUUAACCAAAUGUGUCAGUGAGUCAGUUUAAAAAAAUGUCAAAAUACUACAAACAAAACUUCCGAAGACGGUAGUGAAAAAUAUACAUGAAUUCUUAUUUGCCUAAACAAAAAAACACCUAUUGAAUAAGAAAAAACUAUUUUUUUUUUAAUUUCCAGGCUGGAAUGCUGCUACCUUUGUUAGUUGGCUCAAUUUCAUACUUCUCUGUAACUUAAUCGAAGAUCGAGAGAAGGGAUCCGGAAGAAACAUUUUAGCCUCUUGGCAAUUUAGCCACCUUGCCGAAUGAAAUUCAUAGACCGAAGAUUUUUUUUAAAUUGCGCGCUGAUGAGCUUUGUGACUUGGCAAACAAACAUUAUCCCACCUUGGGAACAAAGACUGGUGUGUUCUUUGAGGUUUGACUUCUUAAUUUUAAAGUGGAAACGAGAAAUUGAAAAUGCCUUUUACGACCGAAUUUCGUGACUUCGAAAGAUUUCGGUAAAGCGAUGAGAAAGAAGUUGUAACUUUCAAAGUUGGACUUUAUGAAAUUUGUUUACAAACGAUCAUCUCGACAUCUCGAAAUCAUUGACGGCAAAGAAGCUUCUGAAGUGAAAAAAAUCCUCCGUGAUUAAAAUAAAACAAAAAAUAGGAGCC
Molecule: long non-coding RNA, 1712 nt
Organism: Uranotaenia lowii
Lineage: Eukaryota; Metazoa; Arthropoda; Insecta; Diptera; Culicidae
Exons: 3
Source: RefSeq, a predicted model, not a curated record